UUGAUGGCAGUGAAGCGUGAC
This 21-nucleotide unclassified non-coding RNA is filed under the name Chlamydomonas reinhardtii. Its description in RNAcentral is "small RNA Cre_3924". Lineage: Eukaryota; Viridiplantae; Chlorophyta; Chlorophyceae; Chlamydomonadales; Chlamydomonadaceae. The record is from RNAcentral.